This 468-nucleotide ribosomal RNA is filed under the name uncultured bacterium. Its description in RNAcentral is "partial 16S ribosomal RNA". It matches the Rfam family "Bacterial small subunit ribosomal RNA", at positions 28 to 507 of the family's 1533-position model. The record is from RNAcentral.
GACGAACGCUGGCGGCGUGCUUAACACAUGCAAGUCGAACGGAAAGGCCCUGCUUUUGUGGGGUGCUCGAGUGGCGAACGGGUGAGUAACACGUGAGUAACCUGCCCUUGACUUUGGGAUAACUUCAGGAAACUGGGGCUAAUACCGGAUAGGAGCUCCUGCUGCAUGGUGGGAGUUGGAAAGUUUCGGCGGUUGGGGAUGGACUCGCGGCUUAUCAGCUUGUUGGUGGGGUAGUGGCUUACCAAGGCUUUGACGGGUAGCCGGCCUGAGAGGGUGACCGGCCACAUUGGGACUGAGAUACGGCCCAGACUCCUACGGAAGGCAGCAGUGGGGAAUAUUGCACAAUGGGCGGAAGCCUGAUGCAGCAACGCCGCGUGCGGGAUGACGGCCUUCGGGUUGUAAACCGCUUUCGCCUGUGACGAAGCGUGAGUGACGGUAAUGGGUAAAGAAGCACCGGCUAACUACGUG